AUUGAACGCUGGCGGCAGGCCUAACACAUGCAAGUCGAGCGGAUGACGGGAGCUUGCUCCUUGAUUCAGCGGCGGACGGGUGAGUAAUGCCUAGGAAUCUGCCUGGUAGUGGGGGACAACGUUUCGAAAGGAACGCUAAUACCGCAUACGUCCUACGGGAGAAAGCAGGGGACCUUCGGGCCUUGCGCUAUCAGAUGAGCCUAGGUCGGAUUAGCUAGUAGGUGAGGUAAUGGCUCACCUAGGCGACGAUCCGUAACUGGUCUGAGAGGAUGAUCAGUCACACUGGAACUGAGUCACGGUCCAGACUCCUACGGGAGGCAGCAGUGGGGAAUAUUGGACAAUGGGCGAAAGCCUGAUACAGCCAUGCCGCGUGUGUGAAGAAGUUCUUCGGAUUGUAAAGCACUUUAAGUUGGGAGGAAGGGUUGUACGUUAAUACCGUGCAAUUUUGACGUUACCGACAGAAUAAGCACCGGCUAACUCUGUGCCAGCCGCCGCGGUAA
This 500-nucleotide ribosomal RNA is filed under the name uncultured bacterium. RNAcentral describes it as "partial 16S ribosomal RNA". It matches the Rfam family "Bacterial small subunit ribosomal RNA", at positions 30 to 523 of the family's 1533-position model. The record is from RNAcentral.